Molecule: long non-coding RNA, 214 nt
Filed under: Nicotiana benthamiana
Lineage: Eukaryota; Viridiplantae; Streptophyta; Magnoliopsida; Solanales; Solanaceae
Description: long non-coding RNA (NBEN_LNC013251)
Source: RNAcentral
UCCUACGCAAAGCCCCAUGACCUCCUCCGCCAUAAUGCGCCUGCAGUACCCAAGGUCUCUGUGGUGCUCUGAAUGCCCCAACUCCCCUAGCUCUAUGUUACGAUCCCCCUCCUCGUUAAGUAAUUCUCGAAAGUACGCCUGCCACCUCUGCUUUACUUGAUACUCCCCCAUCAGAACUCUACCAUCCUCGCCCUUGAUGCACCUAACUUGGUCA